AUAAUUGUCAUAUGAAGAAUAUAUAACAUUUUGAUUAGUAAAAUAUUUUAUAUCAAAUUAAGGUUAUACACAUUAUUAUACCAAUUUUCGUCUGCUCGUGCAAUUGUUAUCCGAUGUACAUCGUAUGAUAUUGCUAAAGAAUUAUUAAAACUAUUAAAAAGUUAUGUAACAUAAUACUAAUGUAGCUAGUGUCAAUACAUACAAUCACAACAUUGGAAAUAGUAACAGUAUAUAUUAUCGUAGUAUAUAUGUAUCGGAACUAAAUAAACAAUAGAAAAAAAUAUAGAGGUUAAUCCUAACUUCAAUAUCAAAAAUCAAAUACUUAUCCGGACAAAAAUGAUCACACUGUCUCUCAUUAUCCAUUAUACUACAGAAGAAGUACAAAGGUAAUUACACAAAAUAAAUUCCUAAGAAUGUAACGUAAAGGAAAAAGGAGAUAACCUUUCCAAAUUGAUUUGAUCUAUUAUCAGAUGAAAGUGGAUCAAAAGUGAAAAUGGACACUGAAAUCGAUCCACAAAAAAAACUUUAAAACAAAAUCAUUCAACAAAAUAUAAGUGAACAAAAAUAUAGAUCAAAGCUAGAAACAGAAGUUACAAAGAGGUUAAACUAAUUUGUAUGGUAAUAUAAAAACUUACGUCAAGCUAUAUGUUAAACUCGCUAACUCAAGACAAGUUUUAUAUAAAAUACGAUCUGAGAGAAAUAGAAAUUUUCAUAAUAGAGAUUUCAAUAUGCUAAAGAAAUAUUUUCAAGAUAAAGAUGUAAGAUUUCAUACCUACAUCGAAAGAUCACAAAAAUAGAAAACUUUUGCAAUCAAAGGUAACACAACUACAUUCAGAAUUGAAUUUAUCCUAUUUUAUUGAAUGCUAAACUAUUACUAUGUUGAAUGUAGUAAAUGUUAACAAUUGUUAUGUCAAAUAAUUACCUACAUCUUUUUAUAAAUCACAACUUAGACACAAUGUCUUUAUCAAGAACUUGACAAAAAAUAGAAGAUAUAAUUGGCCUUUUAAAAUUAUUAGAUAGUAUGGACAGAAAGCAAAUUUUUUUUUUAUAUGAAUAUAAAGCUAUAGAAAUAACUUGUAAGUCAUGUAUUUGAACAAGAUAUAGUGAAUGAAUGCACAGUGCCAUAUUAGUUUGAAAAAUUUCAAAAUGGAGAUACGAGUCUUGAAAAUGAACAAGAUCAUGGACUGCCUUCUGUUCUUAAUAACGAUGAAUUGAAAACAUUUGUUGAAGCUGAUUCAUGCACAAUAGCUCAAUAACUUGCACAUGAGGUAGAUGUAAUUGUCGCCAACUAUUAUUCAUCACCUGAGACAUAUAGGAAAGUCGAAGAAGCUAGACAAAUGGAUAUCUCAUGAAUUAAGCAAAGAUCAAAAAAAUUGUCAUUAUGAGAUGAGUUUUGCAUUUCUUUUAUGUAAUAAAAAUGAACAAUUUUUUCA
Vespula pensylvanica (western yellowjacket) is the source of this 1433-nucleotide long non-coding RNA. RefSeq lists it as uncharacterized. The transcript is spliced from 2 exons. Lineage: Eukaryota; Metazoa; Arthropoda; Insecta; Hymenoptera; Vespidae. The record is from RefSeq and is a predicted model, not a curated record.